AAUCCUACGGGACGCAGCAGUGAGGGAUAUUGGUCAAUGGGGGAAACCCUGAACCAGCAACGCCGCGUGAGGGAAGACGGUUUUCGGAUUGUAAACCUCUGUCCUCUGUGAAGAUAAUGACGGUAGCAGAGGAGGAAGCUCCGGCUAACUACGUGCCAGCAGCCGCGGUAAUACGUAGGGGGCAAGCGUUGUCCGGAAUUAUUGGGCGUAAAGAGUACGUAGGCGGUCUGUUAAGCGCAAGGUGAAAGGCAUAGGCUCAACCAAUGUGAGCCUUGCGAACUGGCAGACUUGAGUGCAGG
This 299-nucleotide ribosomal RNA is filed under the name uncultured bacterium. RNAcentral's name for it is "partial 16S ribosomal RNA". It matches the Rfam family "Bacterial small subunit ribosomal RNA", at positions 335 to 652 of the family's 1533-position model. The record is from RNAcentral.